This 241-nucleotide ribosomal RNA is filed under the name uncultured bacterium. RNAcentral describes it as "partial 16S ribosomal RNA". It matches the Rfam family "Bacterial small subunit ribosomal RNA", at positions 14 to 220 of the family's 1533-position model. The record is from RNAcentral.
UGAUCCUGGCUCAGGAUAAACGCUGGCGGCGCACAUAAGACAUGCAAGUCGAACGGAAGUCGUUAUAAAAGGAGAGAAGAUUUGUCGGGAUUGAAUUUUAUAACAAUGGCUUUAGUGGCGGACUGGUGAGUAACGCGUAAGGAACCUACCUAUUAGAGGGGAACAACAAUGAGAAAUCAUUGCUAAUACCGCAUAUGCCAUAACUACCGCAUGAUAGAAGUGGGAAAGGAGUAAUCCGCUG